RNAcentral lists this ribosomal RNA (496 nucleotides) under uncultured bacterium. Its description in RNAcentral is "partial 16S ribosomal RNA". It matches the Rfam family "Bacterial small subunit ribosomal RNA", at positions 28 to 506 of the family's 1533-position model. The record is from RNAcentral.
GAUGAACGCUGGCGGCGUGCCUAAUACAUGCAAGUCGAGCGAGCAGAUGAGGAGCUUGCUCCUCUGACGUUAGCGGCGGACGGGUGAGUAACACGUGGAUAACCUACCUAUAAGACUGGGAUAACUUCGGGAAACCGGAGCUAAUACCGGAUAAUAUAUUGAACCGCAUGGUUCAAUAGUGAAAGACGGUUUUGCUGUCACUUAUAGAUGGAUCCGCGCCGCAUUAGCUAGUUGGUAAGGUAACGGCUUACCAAGGCAACGAUGCGUAGCCGACCUGAGAGGGGGAUGGGCCAAACAGGACGUGAAACCCGGCCCAGGCCCCCAGGGGGGGCAGAAGUAGGGAAUCUUCCGAAAUGGGCGAAAGCCUGACGGAGCAACGCCCGGUGAGUGAUGAAGGUUUUCGGAUCGUAAAACUCUGUUAUUAGGGAAAAACAAAUGUGUAAGUAACUAUGCCCGUCUUGACGGUACCUAAUCAGAAAGCCACGGCUAACUACGU